Molecule: unclassified non-coding RNA, 21 nt
Filed under: Mus musculus (house mouse)
Lineage: Eukaryota; Metazoa; Chordata; Mammalia; Rodentia; Muridae
Description: oocyte_clustered_small_RNA10727
Source: RNAcentral
UGACAGAACUGACGAUCGUAC